UAUGAGCUUUCGUGUGCAUGCACACUUCUUCAGAAAAAGUAUCUGAAGAAGUGUGCAUGCACACAAAAGCUCAUA
Molecule: non-coding RNA, 75 nt
Organism: Podarcis lilfordi (Lilford's wall lizard)
Lineage: Eukaryota; Metazoa; Chordata; Lepidosauria; Squamata; Lacertidae
Source: the annotation of a GenBank genome assembly